Molecule: ribosomal RNA, 253 nt
Filed under: uncultured bacterium
Lineage: Bacteria
Description: partial 16S ribosomal RNA
Rfam family: Archaeal small subunit ribosomal RNA
Source: RNAcentral
UACCAGCACCCCGAGUGGUCGGGACGAUUAUUGGGCCUAAAGCAUCCGUAGCCGGUUUUACAAGUCCUCCGUUAAAUCCAGCUGCUUAACAGAUGGGCUGCGGAGGAUACUAUAAGACUAGGAGGCAGGAGAGGCAAGCGGUACUCAGUGGGUAGGGGUAAAAUCCGUUGAUCCAUUGAAGACCACCAGUGGCGAAGGCGAGUCCCUGGACAAUACCUGACACUGAGGCACGAAAGCUAGGGGAGCAAACAGG